CUGGCUCCUCAACAUAGGACAAUUCAUUGUCCAACUGGACUGAAGUUAACUCCAACACGUGAGACGGGUCACCAUGAUACCUCUGAAGCAUAAAAAACGUGAAAUACUGGAUGAACCCCAGCUAAACUGGGAGGUAAAGCAAGCUCAUAAGAAACCUUCCCAACCUGCUUCAAAAUCUCAAAUGGACCAAUGUACCUCAGGCUCAACUUUUCU
This 213-nucleotide long non-coding RNA is filed under the name Nicotiana benthamiana. Its description in RNAcentral is "long non-coding RNA (NBEN_LNC030288)". The record is from RNAcentral. Lineage: Eukaryota; Viridiplantae; Streptophyta; Magnoliopsida; Solanales; Solanaceae.